RNAcentral lists this ribosomal RNA (873 nucleotides) under Triticum aestivum (bread wheat). RNAcentral describes it as "partial small subunit ribosomal RNA". Lineage: Eukaryota; Viridiplantae; Streptophyta; Magnoliopsida; Poales; Poaceae. The record is from RNAcentral.
GCUUCGAUCGAACAGAGGCUGGACUUUAUUGCUCUUUUGGAAAUCAGAAGAGGCAAUUUUGCGCCCCAAUUCCUUAAUACGCUGUCGCGAGGGGCCGAUUUUGAUUGGCAUUGUCUACCUCCGAGAGGAAGAUCAGGUGGCAUCUUACUUGGGGUUAGAUGUGAGACGCUGGAAGUUCGGAGUGUGGUCAUGGGAGACUUCGCUGUCAAAUUUCGGGUUAGGUCCAAGAUCGAUGGAUUUAAUUGGGCCUUGGUGGCGGUAUAUGGUGCCGCACAGCCAGAAUUAAAACCGGACUUUUUGGCGGAUCUGGUCUGUAUUUGCGGAUCAGAGCAGCUUCCAAUCUUAGUAGGGGGCGACUUCAAUAUCAUUAGAAGGAGGGACGAAAAGAACAAUGACAAUUUCGAUGGCAGGUGGUCGUUCUUGUUUAACACCAUUAUUGAAAGCUUGGAUUUGAGAGAGAUAGAGCUUUUCGGCCGAAAAUUCACAUGGGCUAAUUCUUUGCCUACUCCUACUUUUGAGAAACUUGACCGUGUCCUCGCGAGCGUUGACUGGGAACAGAAGUUUCCUCUAGUCACCGUACAGGCAUUAUCGCGUGGAAUUUCAGACCACACCCCGUUGCUGGUUGACUCUGGGGAGGCAACGCGCGUGGGAAACAAGAAUAUCUUCUCAUUUGAACUAGCGUGGUUUGAGAUAGAAGGUUUUUUGGAUCUGAUAGCCAGAGAAUGGGCUAAAGAUUCAGGAGGUAGAACUCCAAUAGAGAGAUGGCAGAAUAAGAUUCGUCACCUGCGAAGUUUCUUACGAGGGUGGGCUAAGCAUCUUAGUGGGUGUAUAAGGUCGAAAUGGAAAGGCUCCUUUCCCUUAUCCAGGCCUUAG